GACAGCAGUCGCCACGGUAAUACAGAGGGUGCGAGCGUUAAUCGGAUUUACUGGGCGUAAAGCGUGCGUAGGCGGCUUCUUAAGUCGGAUGUGAAAUCCCUGAGCUUAACUUAGGAAUUGCAUUCGAUACUGGGAAGCUAGAGUAUGGGAGAGGAUGGUAGAAUUCCAGGUGUAGCGGUGAAAUGCGUAGAGAUCUGGAGGAAUACCGAUGGCGAAGGCAGCCAUCUGGCCUAAUACUGACGCUGAGGUACGAAAGCAUGGGGAGCAAACAGGAUUAGAUACCCCUGUAGUCCCUGUCUCUUAUAC
Molecule: ribosomal RNA, 306 nt
Filed under: uncultured bacterium
Lineage: Bacteria
Description: partial 16S ribosomal RNA
Rfam family: Bacterial small subunit ribosomal RNA
Source: RNAcentral